AGAGUUUGAUCAUGGCUCAGAUUGAACGCUGGCGGCAGGCUUAACACAUGCAAGUCGAGCGGGGAAAGGUAGCUUGCUACCUGACCCAGCGGCGGACGGGUGAGUAAUGCUUAGGAAUCUGCCUAUUAGUGGGGGACAACAUUCCGAAAGGAAUGCUAAUACCGCAUACGCCCUACGGGGGAAAGCAGGGGAUCACUUGUGACCUUGCGCUAAUAGAUGAGCCUAAGUCGGAUUAGCUAGUUGGUGGGGUAAAGGCCUACCAAGGCGACGAUCUGUAGCGGGUCUGAGAGGAUGAUCCGCCACACUGGGACUGAGACACGGCCCAGACUCCUACGGGAGGCAGCAGUGGGGAAUAUUGGACAAUGGGGGGAACCCUGAUCCAGCCAUGCCGCGUGUGUGAAGAAGGCCUUUUGGUUGUAAAGCACUUUAAGCGAGGAGGAGGCUACUCUAGUUAAUACCUAGGGAUAGUGGACGUUACUCGCAGAAUAAGCACCGGCUAACUCUGUGCCAGCAGCCGCGGUAAUACAGAGGGUGCGAGCGUUAAUCGGAUUUACUGGGCGUAAAGCGUGCGUAGGUGGCCAAUUAAGUCAAAUGUGAAAUCCCCGAGCUUAACUUGGGAAUUGCAUUCGAUACUGGUUGGCUAGAGUAUGGGAGAGGAUGGUAGAAUUCCAGGUGUAGCGGUGAAAUGCGUAGAGAUCUGGAGGAAUACCGAUGGCGAAGGCAGCCAUCUGGCC
This 734-nucleotide ribosomal RNA is filed under the name uncultured Acinetobacter sp. RNAcentral describes it as "bacterial SSU rRNA". It matches the Rfam family "Bacterial small subunit ribosomal RNA", at positions 8 to 734 of the family's 1533-position model. Lineage: Bacteria; Pseudomonadati; Pseudomonadota; Gammaproteobacteria; Moraxellales; Moraxellaceae. The record is from RNAcentral.